RNAcentral lists this long non-coding RNA (550 nucleotides) under Salmo salar (Atlantic salmon). Its description in RNAcentral is "lncRNA (ENSSSAG00000110675.1, ENSSSAG00020082097.1, ENSSSAG00075064261.1)". Lineage: Eukaryota; Metazoa; Chordata; Actinopteri; Salmoniformes; Salmonidae. The record is from RNAcentral.
CUCAAUCCCACCAUAACAGGCUGAAAUUUCAGAAGCCUUUUAGGUUUUAUCGUAAGAAGUGUUUUGUGCAUCUGGGCCCUGGUGGAUAAAAUGUGGACGCCACCUGCGCGUACUCUGCAAAUAAUCAGUACUCAACAAUCUGCGGUGGUGAUUACAGGUCCUUAGUGAUGUGGGCGCCAAGGACCUUGAAGCUCUCAACCCGCUCCACUACAGCCCCGUCGAUGUGUAUAGGGGCGUGCUCAGCUCUCCUCCGUCGAUGUUAAUGCGGUGGUUGCUUGAUCCUUCCAGUGUUAGGAGAGUUGAAAUGGAAAUAGCAGGCCAUUAGGUAUCAUGCGUAGGAUGUGGGCCAAUACACUCCCCCAAAUGUCUGAGGGCCCUCCAAAAGGCAUAAAGAGCCUUUGCCUCUGACGUUCCUUUUAAGCCUUCUGUGAGAAAAGACAGGAUACAGAACAAGAGAAACCUGAAGGCCUAUGCUCUCUGUUCAAUGGCUGUCCAGAUCCACUGGGGGUUUCGCUGUUGCAUGUUGCAGAAUUUAUGAUACAGUGUGAAG